GUGGGGGCCUGCACGCCUGGCCCCUGCGGUUGGCCGGGGCCACUGAGCUGCGAGGCUCGCCUGCAGGGGACCUGAUGGCCAGUGUGAGGCCCCAGCGCCGUGGCUUCCUUUCUGCCGAAGCAACUAGCGAUGAGGCUUCCGACAGCGGCGGCUCCAUCCUCCCGGGGCUCCAUCCCCCCGGGGCUCCAUCCCCCCGGGGCUCCAUCCUCCCUCCCGGGGCUCCAUCCCCCCGGGGCUCCAUCCUCCCUCCUGGGGCUCCAUCCUCCCUCCCGGGGCUCCAUCCUCCCGGAGUGAGGGCGGCGUGGAGCAGAGCCUGUCUGAGCACUGAGGACGCGAAGCCUGGGCGAGACAUAAACCUUGCUGUUUCCGGUGGCGUCUGUUCCGCAGUGUGACCCAGCCUGCCCCGAGAGCUGCACCACCCUCAAGGUGACCCGAAGCAGACUUAUCUCGUCUCCAAACUGCUACCCUCGGUCACCUCCCUGUUCCUGCCGGCUCCUCUGCUUCCCCAAGCCUGAGACUCGGGGCGCCCUCCUCCUUCCGUCCUCCAUGCCCAUCAGCCAGGAAGUUCUGCUGAGAAUAGACCCCUUUCCUUCCACCUCCUCUGCACGAGUACCCGCAACGGCUCAGGACGAACUAACAGACCUGCGCUCCCCUCUGAGCCUCUCGAUACGUCCUGCACUUGAGCCCCGGCCUUGUCUCCCGAACAUCAGUCUCACCUGUCGAUCUCCUGGACCACGUCCUGCCUUCCUCCCCGUCAGGAAAGAAAUCUUCUCCCAGAAGCCCCUCUCCCUGGACCACAUGCUGAUGCCCUGCCUACAAGGUGAGCAGUGAAGGUGGGUAAGGCUUCUGUGUUUCCAUGGUUUCCAUGGUGACUGUCAUCUCUGUCACCUGGACUGCAGCCGCAGCCUCUUACCUGCUCGCCCAGCUUCUGCUCCGGCCUCUCCCCCAUCUGCCUGUCUGCCACAAACUGCGGAUGAACACGUUUUAAAGUACAAUGUGUGCAGCCGGUAUAACGUCAAUGUGUUUUCUCUUCUCCAUCAAGACUAGGCCCUGGGACUUCCCUGGUGGCGCAGUGGUUCAGACUACACGCUCCCAAUGCGGGGGGCUUGGGUUCAAUCCCUGGUCAGGGAACUAGAUCCCACAUGCAUGCUGCAACUAAGAAUUCGCACGCCACAACUAAGGAGCCCGCGA
Molecule: long non-coding RNA, 1191 nt
Organism: Balaenoptera ricei (Rice's whale)
Lineage: Eukaryota; Metazoa; Chordata; Mammalia; Artiodactyla; Balaenopteridae
Exons: 3
Source: RefSeq, a predicted model, not a curated record